AGCCAUAUGUGUAUGGAAACUGGCAUGCCAGCUGUGGCGCAGUAUAUCUUGAUCCGUAUCAACCACCGAAAACUUGGAUGGACGCUCACAACUUUUGCUGUUCGCUGGGAAUGAGUCUCAUCACGCCAUACAGCGAGGAGAAGAAUUAUUGCCUGCAACAGGAGCUGCUAAAUGGCCUCGGCAAUGGGGAAUACUGGACGUCGGGACGUGACUCCAAAUACUGUCCCGGUCGCUUUAAGUGGUGCUCCCACAAACUGCGUGAUUUCGUAACCUGGAAUUUAGCGAGCAACAAUAAUUCUUGCCUUUUCGUCAACUAUAACGAAGACGCCACCAACAUUGUCUCUUUCGGAACCGCAGACUGUUUCGAAGAGAAAAAGUUCAUUUGCGAGGUCCUUUCAACAGAGGAAAUUCGCAUUAUUUUAAAUUUAAGAUUAUACUUGACAGGGUCGCAGCUCAGUUUACAACUUGGCUGAAUCUUUUACCC
Molecule: long non-coding RNA, 484 nt
Organism: Cloeon dipterum
Lineage: Eukaryota; Metazoa; Arthropoda; Insecta; Ephemeroptera; Baetidae
Exons: 3
Source: RefSeq, a predicted model, not a curated record